UGGGGAAUUUUGGACAAUGGGCGAAAGCCUGAUCCAGCAAUGCCGCGUAUGUGAAGAAGGCCUUCGGGUUGUAAAGCACUUUUGUCCGGAAAGAAAUCCUUGGCUCUAAUACAGUCGGGGGAUGACGGUACCGGAAGAAUAAGCACCGGCUAACUACGUGCCAGCAGCCGCGGUAAUACGUAGGGUGCAAGCGUUAAUCGGAAUUACUGGGCGUAAAGCGUGCGCAGGCGGUUUGCUAAGACCGAUGUGAAAUCCCCGGGCUCAACCUGGGAACUGCAUUGGUGACUGGCAGGCUAGAGUAUGGCAGAGGGGGGUAGAAUUCCACGUGUAGCAGUGAAAUGCGUAGAGAUGUGGAGGAAUACCGAUGGCGAAGGCAGCCCCCUGGGCCAAUACUGACGCUCAUGCACGAAAGCGUGGGGAGCAAACAGGAUUAGAUACCCUGGUAGUCCACGCCCUAAACGAUGUCAACUAGUUGUUGGGGAUUCAUUUCCUUAGUAACGUAGCUAACGCGUGAAGUUGACCGCCUGGGGAGUACGGUCGCAAGAUUAAAACUUAAAUGAAUUGACGGGGUCAUAGCUGUUUCCU
Molecule: ribosomal RNA, 585 nt
Filed under: uncultured bacterium
Lineage: Bacteria
Description: partial 16S ribosomal RNA
Rfam family: Bacterial small subunit ribosomal RNA
Source: RNAcentral